GAUGAAGAACGCAGCAAAAUGCGAUAAGUAAUGAGAAUUGCAGAAUUCAGUGAAUCAUCGAAUCUUUGAACGCACAUUGCGCCCGCUGGUAUUCCGGCGGGCAUGCCUGUUCGAGCGUCAUUUCAACCCUCAAGCCCCCGGGUUUGGUGUUGGGGAUCGGCUCUGCCCUUCUGGGCGGUGCCGCCCCCGAAAUACAUUGGCGGUCUCGCUGCAGCCUCCAUUGCGUAGUAGCUAACACCUCGCAACUGGAACGCGGCGCGGCCAUGCCGUAAAACCCCAACUUCUGAAUGUUGACCUCGGAUCAGGUAGGAAUACCCGCUGAACUUAAGCAUAUCAAUAAGCGGAGGA
Molecule: unclassified non-coding RNA, 348 nt
Filed under: soil metagenome
Description: partial contains 5.8S ribosomal RNA, internal transcribed spacer 2, and large subunit ribosomal RNA
Rfam family: 5.8S ribosomal RNA (bases 1-120)
Source: RNAcentral